AUGGCUAGGGUUUCGGGCAUGGCUUCGCCGGCGCGUCUCCGGUGGUCCAAAGUUCUUCUUUCCUUCCUUCUUGGCCGAGAUCCGCUGCCCCUACAUCUCACCUUCUCUUCAUAUCCUCUGCUGGAGAUGCAGUUGGGGCACGCCAUGGGAGUUCCCCAUCCACCACGGUCGUCGCCGUCAAGGGAUUCUUCAAGGAGAUGUCAAGGACGCCAUGGACAUGCAGCUCCUCAAGGUUUUAUCCCUCCUUUCCUCUGA
RNAcentral lists this ribosomal RNA (255 nucleotides) under Triticum aestivum (bread wheat). RNAcentral describes it as "partial small subunit ribosomal RNA". Lineage: Eukaryota; Viridiplantae; Streptophyta; Magnoliopsida; Poales; Poaceae. The record is from RNAcentral.